This is a long non-coding RNA of Mustela erminea (ermine), 924 nucleotides long. RefSeq lists it as uncharacterized. Lineage: Eukaryota; Metazoa; Chordata; Mammalia; Carnivora; Mustelidae. The transcript has 2 exons. The record is from RefSeq and is a predicted model, not a curated record.
GGCCCCGCCCCCGGCUCCGCCCCCAGGUCAGCUGAGAAGCUGGGACGACCCCGGCUCCCGUGGCGGGGCGGGCUAGCGCAGAGCCCCGGUGGGUGGGUGGGCAGAAUCUGGUCCUGGUGGUACCUCGGCAGUCUGGGCAAUUUUCAGCGCUUAUUCCUGCUGCUCCGGUGUCUGAGCCAAAGGCGAGAACAGUGCUGCGCAAUUGGGACACACAGAUCCCUGGGCACGAAGUGGCGCUCAAAGCCUCAGGGAGCUCAAGGACCGACAGUAGGGUGAUGAGACGCAGCGAGAGAGGCUUCCAACCGCUUCAGACAACCGAAACACGGAGACACUCACCGCCUCAGCUCCCCCAAAUUUCCCGGGACCUUCAUCCACACUUCAGAGGCCUCUCGGGCGGCAGUAACGCUCACCUCCUGCAGCUCCACAGGUAACCUACUUCAUUUGCAGAAGAAGUGGCAACUCUAUAUGGACCUCUGGACUACAAGUGGGAGGCACACGGCUGUGUUGAGGCUUGUAGAAGUGGGUUCUGAUGUAAGACACUCCAAGACACAGGAAACUGUGUAUAGGUCAUACAAGAACAUUGGUUUCCAUAUCAAGGGGUCUGCAAAAAGAUGAUCACCUGGCCAAGGUGGCAAAGUCUCCUAUGAAUUGUGUUGUAGGCCUGUGGACAUUUACUGAAUGUCUUUAGACCCAUACCAGGCAAACAACAGUCCACACCAUGAACUGCUAGAGAACUUUUUCGUUUUCCUAUAAUAUCCCCCCCAUUACCUUCUACUGAGAAAGCUUAACAUUAUGCUCAUAAGAAAUGCUUAAAGGAAUUCAGAUGUUUCUCACAAAGGAUACAGGCAUACCUCAGAGAUAUUGUCGAUUUGAUUCCAGACCACCACAAUAAUGUUAGUAUUGCAAUAAAGUGAAUCAGAUUAA